Molecule: non-coding RNA, 201 nt
Organism: Danio rerio (zebrafish)
Lineage: Eukaryota; Metazoa; Chordata; Actinopteri; Cypriniformes; Danionidae
Source: Ensembl
CUGUUAGGAAACGGACGGACAAACAGGUAUGGAUGAUGAUAUAGAUGCUGACCGAAUACACACACCAGAUGAGUAGGGGAUGGGACAGAACGAUGGAGCACCCACCAGAUGAGUUACGGAGACGACAACGAGGAAACACACACCUCCAACUGGAACACGGGGCUGACUGGACAAACUGGAGACAAAACAGAGAUUAGGUAA